RNAcentral lists this ribosomal RNA (232 nucleotides) under uncultured bacterium. RNAcentral describes it as "partial 16S ribosomal RNA". It matches the Rfam family "Bacterial small subunit ribosomal RNA", at positions 99 to 334 of the family's 1533-position model. The record is from RNAcentral.
CGGACGGGUGAGUAAUGCUUGGGAAUCUGGCUUAUGGAGGGGGAUAACGACGGGAAACUGCCGCUAAUACCGCGUAGAAUCGAGAGAUGAAAGUGCGGGACCGCAAGGCCGCAUGCCAUAGGAUGAGCCCAAGUGGGAUUAGGUAGUUGGUGGGGUAAAGGCCUACCAAGCCGACGAUCUCUAGCUGGUCUGAGAGGAUGACCAGCCACACCGGGACUGAGACACGGCCCGG